UACGUAGGGUGCGAGCGUUAAUCGGAAUUACUGGGCGUAAAGCGUGCGUAGGCGGUUCGUUAAGUCAGAUGUGAAAGCCCCGGGCUCAACCUGGGAACUGCAUUUGAAACUGGCGGGCUUGAGUAUGGCAGAGGGGGGUGGAAUUCCGCGUGUAGCAGUGAAAUGCGUAGAGAUGCGGAGGAACACCGAUGGCGAAGGCAGCCCCCUGGGCCAAUACUGACGCUCAGGCACGAAAGCGUGGGGAUCAAACAGG
RNAcentral lists this ribosomal RNA (253 nucleotides) under uncultured bacterium. Its description in RNAcentral is "partial 16S ribosomal RNA". It matches the Rfam family "Bacterial small subunit ribosomal RNA", at positions 524 to 776 of the family's 1533-position model. The record is from RNAcentral.